RNAcentral lists this long non-coding RNA (453 nucleotides) under Solanum tuberosum (potato). RNAcentral describes it as "long non-coding RNA (STUB_LNC003116)". The record is from RNAcentral. Lineage: Eukaryota; Viridiplantae; Streptophyta; Magnoliopsida; Solanales; Solanaceae.
GAAAAAUCACAAUUUUAAAAGAAUGCUUAAAUACACAUGUUAAAUAGGUGCAUUGCUCAAGCAGAUUCAUGAAUGACCAGUAUGAAUAGGUGAUUGGAGACUGCUCCACACUUACAAAAAAUUCAGACUGCAGUUUGUGGCGAAGGUUCUCGUUAUCAUCUAGAAGUCUAGAGAUUUCAUUGUCCUUCUCCUCAAUCAUCUUAUCAGCAAGGUCACGAAAAGAAUCAAGCUCUUCCUACAAGUUAAAGAACUCGGUGUCACCAAACUAAAAAGUGUUAUGAUCAUACUGAUGAUUAUAAAUCACACCUUCAGUUUUUUGCAGCUUUGUUUGAGGUCAUCUAGUUCUUUUUGAACAUUAUCACCAGAGGUAACCACACUCUCUGCUUUAAAUGCAUCACAUUUCACUGCAAAACAGUAUCUAAAAUUAAUUUUCCAUUUGGAAGCUGAAUAAAU